This 1284-nucleotide ribosomal RNA is filed under the name Rubroboletus satanas (devil's bolete). RNAcentral describes it as "eukaryotic LSU rRNA". The stretch from base 752 to 1284 matches the Rfam family "Eukaryotic large subunit ribosomal RNA", at positions 1 to 535 of the family's 3401-position model. The record is from RNAcentral. Lineage: Eukaryota; Fungi; Basidiomycota; Agaricomycetes; Boletales; Boletaceae.
GGAAGUAAAAGUCGUAACAAGGUUUCCGUAGGUGAACCUGCGGAAGGAUCAUUAUUGAAUUUCUGAGGGGGAGGGGAGGAAAGAUGGAAAGCGAAGACUGUCGCUGGUCCCUCGGGGCAAUGUGCACGUCUUCCUUUUCGUUGACCUUCCUCUUUCUCUCACCACACACACACCUUGUGCACCUAUUGUAGGUCCUCGAAAGAGGAUCUAUGUUUUUUCACAUCACACCCGUCGUAUGUCUACAGAAUGUAAUCGAGAACGUCGACCUGUUUCGACAGGCUGGCGGUCCAUAAAUCAUACAACUUUCAGCAACGGAUCUCUUGGCUCUCGCAUCGAUGAAGAACGCAGCGAAUUGCGAUAAGUAAUGUGAAUUGCAGAUUUUCAGUGAAUCAUCGAAUCUUUGAACGCACCUUGCGCUCCUUGGUAUUCCGAGGAGCAUGCCUGUUUGAGUGUCAUCGAAUUCUCAACCAUGUCUUGAUUUAUUUCGAGCCAUGGCUUCNACUUGGGGGUUGCUGGCGGCGCAAAGCUGUCGGCUCUCCUGAAAUGCAUUAGCAAAGGGUGGCAAGUCUUUUGACGGUGCACGGCCUUCGACGUGAUAAUGAUCGUCGUGGCUGGAGCGGUCAGACAUGCAUGAAUCAUCCAGUGCUUCCAAUUAAUUCCAUCUGGCCUUGGGUCGUUCAGUCUACUAGUUGGUCGUGAGGCCGACGAACGUUGAGCAGCCAAGGGGGGGGGGUUGGUGUCUUUCGAAACUUGACCUCAAAUCAGGUAGGACUACCCGCUGAACUUAAGCAUAUCAAUAAGCGGAGGAAAAGAAACUAACAAGGAUUCCCCUAGUAACUGCGAGUGAAGCGGGAAGAGCUCAAAUUUUGAAUCUGGCGGUCUUUGGUCCGUCCGAGUUGUAAUCUAGAGAAGCGUCUUCCGCGCUGGACCGUGUACAAGUCUCCUGGAAGGGAGCGUCNUAGAGGGUGAGAAUCCCGUCUUUGACACGGACUACCAGUGCUAUGUGAUGCGCUCUCGACGAGUCGAGUUGUUUGGGAAUGCAGCUCAAAAUGGGUGGUAAAUUCCAUCUAAAGCUAAAUACAGGCGAGAGACCGAUAGCGAACAAGUACCGUGAGGAAAGAUGAAAAGAACUUUGGAAAGAGAGUUAAACAGUACGUGAAAUUGCUGAAAGGGAAACGCUUGAUGUCAGUCGCGUCGUCCGGGGAUCAACCUUGCUUCUCGCUGGGUNUAUUUCCCGUCGACGGUCAGCAUCAGUUUCGGUCGUCGUACAAGGCGAGGGAAUUG